AGAGAGACAGCAGGGUUAGUAACAUCUUCUGCCUCCUGAUAUUAUCCAUGAAUAAUAUUCUUAAUUUCCAAAAUACCCUGUGACAGAAAGAGGUGGCUUUAAAAAAAAAAAUCUACCAGAAAUUGGGCAGACCCAAAUUUCACUCCUUCUUUCUUCUGUGUCCUUUCACCACUAUCACCCCGGACAAAAGUUCACAGCUGACUAGCAAUGUCUGUAAAUUGCAGAUCCUUAACUGCUAGUUUUAGCCUCUGUUGAGCUCCCAAAUGGGAUGGUGUUGCUUGAUGGGGUCAUCUAUUUACUUAAAACAGGACUGGGAUCAAAAGUUCAUUUUCAUUGACCAUUAAAGGGCAAUGAUAUAUUAACAACUUCAGCCACUGCUGGGCUGGAUGUGACUCGUAGGUGACUGACACCAUAUGCCAGCCACCCUAUUUCUUACAAGAUUUAUUUCAAGCCCCUUCCCUACACCUCUAAAGGAAUAUGGAAACAGCCAUCUUCUGUAUCAAUCUAGAAGGUGUACCUGUAGGCAAUCUUAGACACAUUAUCUUCCCCUUAGAGGUCACUGGUGAUUUAUUACAGCAUAUUUACUUCCCACCAGCCACUUGGAUUUGCUUCAAUGAAUCAGUAACACUCAAUUUCUGACUAACAAAGUCUUACUCAUAUUCCAAAUUGCUGGCCACAAGAAAAACAUUGUUAGCCUCUCAGGUAGGCUUACUGCUUAUGGAGAAUUAAAUACUAAAGCCAGCAUUUGUGAGGUAGACAGAGCAGGAAUGAGAGGGAAAAAAAAUGGGAAAAAAUGAAAAUGUAAGCUAUUUCCAGGUCUUCAGACAGCAGAACUGAAAAUGUGAGCAACGGCAAUUCACAUUGCUACCAAAAGACAGCCCCCUGGAAAGUGGAAGAAAUGCAUCAGUGAAUGAUUUUUGGUGUAAAAGCCUGAGUUAAGUUAUAAUUUAGUCUUUCAAAUUAUUUGACUGUGUUCAAUACAGACUUAAAGCAAAUUUGUACAGAAGUGCGAAGUCUUAACCAAAUAAGCACACUUGGAGCACACAGCUGACACACAUCUGCUGAAAGCUCAGUGUCUACCUAUGAAAAAUGCAAUGUGAUUUUUUUUUUCAUGGCAUAUUGAAACAUUCAAGAAAGUGAGGGCCCAAGCCCUCUCUCCACACAACCAACAAGUGCCCACCCCGCGCCAAGAAGACAUGCUUGAGCCCUGUCUGCUCCGUUCUUCCCAGGCAGAGCAGCUCCUGCCCUCUCCAAAGCCAGGCCCUUUGGUCACUGAUGGCACACUGUAAGGCCUUUUCUCAAGGUGUGGCAUGUUGUGACUACCCCAUCCAACCCAUUAUGAAAUGCCAAGGACUUGUGUAGUCUGGUACCAGAUCCCUCCUCAUCUGGGAAAAAACAACAAAAAAAACCUGUCAGAAAUCUGGGAGGGAAGAAGUGCCUGGGCAGCACCAGCACGGCUUAAGGGACUUCUGCCACGGUCUGUAGAUCACACAAGUGUACGGUGGCACCCAUUAACUGCUUUCAGCAUAACAAUGGCUCUUUCUCAUCUCUGCCCAUCCUCUCUGUCCCAGUUAAAUGAGCUGUUUCCCAGACAAAUAAAAGACUGGAGAGACUGCCUUCAGCAGGGGUAGAAGGCUGGGGAUUCGGAUGGGAGCCUCCGGGCACAGCUGGGAGCCAGGGCUACCCAUGGGCAACAAGGGGACAGGAGAGCCUGCUACAAGGAAUAGAGAUGCAGGGAGCAUGAGACAGCGUGAAACUACAUUCACUCUCUGCCCAGGGGUCUGUGGGAGCAGGGGGAAACCACUGGCAGCACAGUGCAUAGCCACUCCUGGGGACAAGAGGACAGCAAAGGAGGGCCGGAAGCUGACAUGAGGUGGGCCUCACACCAUCCCAGAACCACUUCAGGAGCCGCAAAGUCUGCAAGUGCCAGGUUUCUGCCGUCCUCACUUGCAGUUUCCUCAGUUUAGCUGUCAAAAGGCACUGAGCAGGCAAGAGGGCAGCCACAGUGCAUCUGAGCUGGAAGCUUCUUCUGAAAUCUCGGUGCCUUCUCCAGCCUUUGGGGAAAACAAGUCUCCCUCUCAGCCAGAGGGCUCA
RNAcentral lists this long non-coding RNA (2094 nucleotides) under Gallus gallus (chicken). RNAcentral describes it as "lncRNA (ENSGALG00010022855.1)". The record is from RNAcentral. Lineage: Eukaryota; Metazoa; Chordata; Aves; Galliformes; Phasianidae.